This 465-nucleotide ribosomal RNA is filed under the name uncultured bacterium. RNAcentral describes it as "partial 16S ribosomal RNA". It matches the Rfam family "Bacterial small subunit ribosomal RNA", at positions 28 to 507 of the family's 1533-position model. The record is from RNAcentral.
GAUGAACGCUGGCGGCGUGCUUAACACAUGCAAGUCGAACGGAAAGGCUCCUGCUUGCAGGGGUACUCGAGUGGCGAACGGGUGAGUAACACGUGGGUGAUCUGCCCUGCACUUCGGGAUAAGCCUGGGAAACUGGGUCUAAUACCGGAUAGGACGAUGGUUUGGAUGCCAUUGUGGAAAGUUUUUCGGUGUGGGAUGAGCUCGCGGCCUAUCAGCUUGUUGGUGGGGUAAUGGCCUACCAAGGCGUCGACGGGUAGCCGGCCUGAGAGGGUGUUCGGCCACAUUGGGACUGAGAUACGGCCCAGACUCCUACGGGAGGCAGCAGUGGGGAAUAUUGCACAAUGGGCGCAAGCCUGAUGCAGCGACGCCGCGUGGGGGAUGACGGCCUUCGGGUUGUAAACUCCUUUCGCUAGGGACGAAGCGCAAGUGACGGUACCUGGAGAAGAAGCACCGGCUAACUACGUG